This is a non-coding RNA of Ixodes scapularis (black-legged tick), 82 nucleotides long. The record is from Rfam. Lineage: Eukaryota; Metazoa; Arthropoda; Arachnida; Ixodida; Ixodidae.
GCAGUCGUGGCCCAGUGGUUAAGGUGAUGGACUAGAAAUCUAUGAAGGUCUCCCUGCAAAGGUUUGACUCCUGUCGACUGCG